Molecule: ribosomal RNA, 253 nt
Filed under: uncultured bacterium
Lineage: Bacteria
Description: partial 16S ribosomal RNA
Rfam family: Bacterial small subunit ribosomal RNA
Source: RNAcentral
UACGUAGGGGGCUAGCGUUGUCCGGAAUCAUUGGGCGUAAAGCGCGCGUAGGCGGCCCGGUAAGUCCGCUGUGAAAGUCCAGGGCUCAACCCUGGAAUGCCGGUGGAUACUGCCGGGCUAGAGUCCGGAAGAGGCGAGUGGAAUUCCUGGUGUAGCAGUGAAAUGCGUAGAUAUCAGGAGGAAUACCGAUGGCGAAGGCAGGUCUCUGGGCUGACACUGACGCUCAUGCACGAAAGCGUGGGGAGCAAACAGG